Molecule: ribosomal RNA, 528 nt
Filed under: uncultured bacterium
Lineage: Bacteria
Description: bacterial SSU rRNA
Rfam family: Bacterial small subunit ribosomal RNA
Source: RNAcentral
AGUCAAUAGAUACCCAGGUAGUCCACGCCGUAAACGAUGAGUACUAGGUGUAGGAGGUAUCGACUCCUUCUGUGCCGCAGUUAACACAAUAAGUACUCCGCCUGGGAAGUACGGUCGCAAGAUUAAAAACUCAAAGGAAUUGACGGGGGCCCGCACAAGCAGCGGAGCAUGUGGUUUAAUUCGAAGCAACGCGAAGAACCUUACCUAGACUUGACAUCUCCUGAAUAGCGCAGAGAUGCGUGAAGCCCUUCGGGGCAGGAAGACAGGUGGUGCAUGGUUGUCGUCAGCUCGUGUCGUGAGAUGUUGGGUUAAGUCCCGCAACGAGCGCAACCCCUAUUAUUAGUUGCUACCAUUAAGUUGAGCACUCUAAUGAGACUGCCCGGGUUAACCGGGAGGAAGGCGGGGAUGACGUCAAAUCAUCAUGCCCCUUAUGUCUAGGGCUACACACGUGCUACAAUGGUGAGAACAACGAGAUGCAAUACCGCGAGGUGGAGCAAAACUUGAAAACUCAUCUCAGUUCGGAUUGUA